RNAcentral lists this ribosomal RNA (622 nucleotides) under Trechisibus antarcticus. Its description in RNAcentral is "partial 16S ribosomal RNA". The stretch from base 379 to 537 matches the Rfam family "Bacterial large subunit ribosomal RNA", at positions 2473 to 2632 of the family's 2925-position model. Lineage: Eukaryota; Metazoa; Arthropoda; Insecta; Coleoptera; Carabidae. The record is from RNAcentral.
UUGAUUUAUAUAUAAAGUCUGACCUGCCCACUGAAAAUUUUAAAUGGCUGCAGUAAUUUGACUGUACAAAGGUAGCAUAAUCAUUAGUUUUUUAAUUAAAAGCUUGUAUGAAAGGUUGGACGAAGUAAAAUCUGUCUCUUUUUAAUAUAAUUAGAAUUUAAUUUUUAAGUAAAAAAGCUUAAAUUUUUAUAAAAGACGAGAAGACCCUAUAGAGUUUAAUAAUUUUAAUAAAAUAUUUAAUUAAGAUUUAUUAAUUUUAUUUAAUUAAAAUUAUUUUAUUGGGGUAAUAAAAAGAUUAAAAAAAUUCUUUUUUUUUAAUACAUUAAUUUAUGAAUAUAUGAUCCAUUUGUAGUGAUUAAAAGAUUAAAUUACCUUAGGGAUAACAGCGUAAUUUUUUUAAAGAGUUCUUAUCGAUAAAAAAGUUUGCGACCUCGAUGUUGGAUUAAAGAUUAAUUUAGGUGUAGAAGUUUAAAUUUUUGGUCUGUUCGACCAUUAAAUCUUUACAUGAUCUGAGUUCAAACCGGUGUAAGCCAGGUUGGUUUCUAUCUUUAUUAAUUUUUUAUAUUUUAGUACGAAAGGACCAAAUAUAAAAUAUAUAAAUAUUUUUAUUUUGAAUAUUAUU